This 253-nucleotide ribosomal RNA is filed under the name uncultured bacterium. RNAcentral describes it as "partial 16S ribosomal RNA". It matches the Rfam family "Bacterial small subunit ribosomal RNA", at positions 524 to 776 of the family's 1533-position model. The record is from RNAcentral.
CACGUAGGGCGCAAGCGUUGUCCGGAAUUAUUGGGCGUAAAGAGCUCGUAGGCGGUCUGUCGCGUCUGCUGUGAAAUCCCGAGGCUCAACCUCGGGCCUGCAGUGGGUACGGGCAGACUGGAGUGCGGUAGGGGAGAAUGGAACUCCUGGUGUAGCGGUGGAAUGCGCAGAUAUCAGGAAGAACACCGAUGGCGAAGGCAGUUCUCUGGGCCGUAACUGACGCUGAGGAGCGAAAGCGUGGGGAGCGAACAGG